RNAcentral lists this ribosomal RNA (484 nucleotides) under uncultured bacterium. Its description in RNAcentral is "partial 16S ribosomal RNA". It matches the Rfam family "Bacterial small subunit ribosomal RNA", at positions 30 to 507 of the family's 1533-position model. The record is from RNAcentral.
AUUGAACGCUGGCGGCAGGCCUAACACAUGCCAGUCGAGCGGAUGAAGGGAGCUUGCUCCUGGAUUCAGCGGCGGACGGGUGAAUAAUGCCUAGGAAUCUGCCUUGUAGUGGGGGAUAACGUCCGGAAACGGGCGCUAAUACCGCAUACGUCCUGAGGGAGAAAGUGGGGGAUCUUCGGACCUCACGCUAUCAGAUGAGCCUAGGUCGGAUUAGCUAGUUGGUGGGGUAAAGGCCUACCAAGGCGACGAUCCGUAACUGGUCUGAGAGGAUGAUCAGUCACACUGGAACUGAGACACGGUCCAGACUCCUACGGGAGGCAGCAGUGGGGAAUAUUGGACAAUGGGCGAAAGCCUGAUCCAGCCAUGCCGCGUGUGUGAAGAAGGUCUUCGGAUUGUAAAGCACUUUAAGUUGGGAGGAAGGGCAGUAAGUUAAUACCUUGCUGUUUUGACGUUACCAACAGAAUAAGCACCGGCUAACUUCGUG